AUUAAUUUAAUGGCUGCAGUAUUUUAACUGUACAAAGGUAGCAUAAUAAUUAGUUCCUUAAUUAGGGACUGGAAUGAAGGAUUGAACGAGAUAAAAAUUGUCUCUUUUUAAAUUUUAUAAUUUUAUUUUUAAGUUAAAAAGCUUAAAUAUUAUUAAAAGACGAGAAGACCCUAUAGAGUUUUAUAAUUAUAAUAUAAAUAAAUUUUAGUAAUAAAAUUUUAUUUAUACAAUGAUUAUUUGGUUGGGGUGAUUUUAAAAUUUAAAAAACUUUAAUAUAAUUUACAUUAAUAUAUGAAUAAUUGAUCCAUAAUUUAUGAUUAAAAGAUUAAAUUACCUUAGGGAUAACAGCGUAAUUUUUUUAAAGAGUUCUAAUCGAAAAAAAAGAUUGCGACCUCGAUGUUGGAUUAAAAUAAAUUUUUGGUGUAGAAGCUAAAAUAUUAGGUCUGUUCGACCUUUAAAAUUUUACAUGAUCUGAGUUUAAAUCGGCGUGAGCCAGGUUGGUUUCUAUCUUUAAUUAAAUAAAAUAUUUUAGUACGAAAGGACCAAAUAUUUAUAAUGUUUAUUUAUUUAUGAUUAAUAUUA
RNAcentral lists this ribosomal RNA (582 nucleotides) under Ptomaphagus hatchi. RNAcentral describes it as "partial 16S ribosomal RNA". The stretch from base 341 to 499 matches the Rfam family "Bacterial large subunit ribosomal RNA", at positions 2473 to 2632 of the family's 2925-position model. Lineage: Eukaryota; Metazoa; Arthropoda; Insecta; Coleoptera; Leiodidae. The record is from RNAcentral.